This 535-nucleotide ribosomal RNA is filed under the name uncultured bacterium. RNAcentral's name for it is "bacterial SSU rRNA". It matches the Rfam family "Bacterial small subunit ribosomal RNA", at positions 18 to 518 of the family's 1533-position model. The record is from RNAcentral.
CCUGGCUCGAGGACGACGCGUGGCGGCGUAGCCUAAUACAUAGCAAGUCGAACGGUCUUUCUAUGGAAGCUUGCUUCCACUGAGAAGGAUAGUGGCGAACGGGUGAGUAACACGUGGGUAACCUGCCCAUAAGAGGGGGGAUAACAUCCGGAAACGGGUGCUAAUACCGCAUAGUUUUCUUGAUCGCAUGAUCGGGAAAGGAAAGACGGCCUUUGUGCUGUCGCUUAUGGAUGGACCCGCGGCGUAUUAGUUAGUUGGUGAGGUAACGGCUCACCAAGACGAUGAUACGUAGCCGACCUGAGAGGGUGAUCGGCCACAUUGGGACUGAGACACGGCCCAAACUCCUACGGGAGGCAGCAGUAGGGAAUCUUCCGCAAUGGACGAAAGUCUGACGGAGCAACGCCGCGUGAGUGAAGAAAAGGGUUUUUCGGAUCGUAAAACUCUGUUGUCAGAGAAGAACAAGUUGGAGAGUAACUGCUCCAGCCUUGACGGUAUCUGACCAGAAAGCCACGGCUAACUACGUGCCAGCCGCUGC